Long non-coding RNA from Oryctolagus cuniculus (rabbit), 813 nucleotides. RefSeq lists it as uncharacterized. The record is from RefSeq and is a predicted model, not a curated record. NCBI's taxonomy places the organism in Eukaryota, Metazoa, Chordata, Mammalia, Lagomorpha, Leporidae.
UUCAGGAAGUCUGAGCAAAGCCGAACACAGCUUCCCUAAACUGUCCUAUUUUAAAGACAGGAAGCAUCUGAUAAUCAGUUUGUCUCUCAGAGAGCUGAAUUCCUAACCUUGUCUCAAACUGAAAAUGAUUACAAUAUUCACCUUAAGGAGCAGUCUGACUUUAACCUCUCCUGAGCCUCCCACUUUUUCACACAGUUGCUAAGGAGACGCUGCCCACAUAAGGGGAGAGGCGCCGUUGAGCACUGCUGCUGGGGUCAGUACCACGUCAUGCAGAGUCGCCCUUCCCAAGGGACCUGAAGGAAGACUACCAUGCCCCGGGGCGUCCUUGCUGCCUGCGGUAAGUUACAGACAGCAUUUAAACGCCAUGGAAGCGGACCUAACUAUCAACAUCGCUGCCUCAGCCUCCUCCUCUCCCAUGAUGAAAGCAUCAGUGCAAGCCUUCCAAGGAUGACUGACAGAUAAUUCACUAUUGGCAUACAGAAACACUACAGGGGGUCAGCAUGUGGCCUAAUGGGUUAAGCCACCACCUGCAACGCAGGCAUCCCUUAGUGGUGCUAGUUCAAGUUCCGGCUGCUCCACUGCCAAUCCAGCUCCCUGCUAAAGUGCCUGGGAAAGCAUCAGAAGAGGGCUCAAGUCCUGCUCACAUGUGGGAAACCUGGAUCAAUCUCCUGGCUCUUGGCUUUGGCCAGGCCCAGCCCUGGAUGUUGAGGCCAUUUAGGGAAUGGACCAGCAGAUGGAAGGCCUCUGUGUCUCUCCCUCUCUCUAAUUCUGCCUCUCAAAUAAAUAAAAUAAAUAUUAAAAAAAAAGGAAACA